GUAGUUAGCCGGGGCUUCCUCCUUGGCUACCGUCACUUUCUUCGUCACCAAGGACAGAGGUUUACAACCCGAAAGCCUUCAUCCCUCACGCGGCGUUGCUGGGUCAGGCUUGCGCCCAUUGCCCAAUAUUCCCCACUGCUGCCUCCCGUAGGAGUCUGGACCGUGUCUCAGUUCCAGUGUGGCCGAUCAGCCUCUCAGCUCGGCUACCCAUCGUCGACUUGGUGGGCCGUUACCCCGCCAACUAUCUAAUCAGACAUGAGCCCAUCCUAAAGCGAUAAAUCUUUGGUACAAGAGGGAUGCCCCCCUCGCACAUCAUGCGGUAUUAGCAGCCGUUUCCAACUGUUGUCCCCCACUUUAGGGCAGGUUGCUCAUGUGUUACUCACCCGUCCGCCACUAAGUUGCAAAAGCAAGCUCUCGCAACUCCGUUCGACUUGCAUGUGUUAGGCACGCCGCCAGCGUUCGUCCUGAGCANGAUACAACUACUGA
Molecule: ribosomal RNA, 486 nt
Filed under: uncultured bacterium
Lineage: Bacteria
Description: partial 16S ribosomal RNA
Source: RNAcentral